CAGCAGCCGCGGGAAAACGUAGGUGGCAAGCGUUGUCCGGAAUUAUUGGGCGUAAAGGGCUCGCAGGCGGUUUCUUAAGUCUGAUGUGAAAGCCCCCGGCUCAACCGGGGAGGGUCAUUGGAAACUGGGAAACUUGAGUGCAGUAGAGGAGAGUGGAAUUCCACGUGUAGCGGUGAAAUGCGUAGAGAUGUGGAGGAACACCAGUGGCGAAGGCGACUCUCUGGUCUGUAACUGACGCUGAGGAGCGAAAGCGUGGGGAGCGAACAGGAUUAGAUACCCGAGUAGUCCCUGUCUCUUAUAC
This 301-nucleotide ribosomal RNA is filed under the name uncultured bacterium. Its description in RNAcentral is "partial 16S ribosomal RNA". It matches the Rfam family "Bacterial small subunit ribosomal RNA", at positions 509 to 807 of the family's 1533-position model. The record is from RNAcentral.